UACGGGGGGGGCAAGCGUUGUUCGGAAUUACUGGGCGUAAAGGGCUCGUAGGUGGCCAACUAAGUCAGACGUGAAAUCCCUCAGCUUAACUGGGGAACUGCGUCUGAUACUGGAUGGCUUGAGUUUGGGAGAGGGAUGCGGAAUUCCAGGUGUAGCGGCGAAAUGCGUAGAGAUCUGGAGGAACACCGAUGGCGAAGGCAGCCCCCUGGGCUAACACUGACGCUCAUGCACGAAAGCGUGGGGAGCAAACAGG
This 253-nucleotide ribosomal RNA is filed under the name uncultured bacterium. RNAcentral's name for it is "partial 16S ribosomal RNA". It matches the Rfam family "Bacterial small subunit ribosomal RNA", at positions 524 to 776 of the family's 1533-position model. The record is from RNAcentral.